Podarcis lilfordi (Lilford's wall lizard) is the source of this 75-nucleotide non-coding RNA. The record is from the annotation of a GenBank genome assembly. NCBI's taxonomy places the organism in Eukaryota, Metazoa, Chordata, Lepidosauria, Squamata, Lacertidae.
GGAAGUUCUGUAGUUUAGUGGUAGAGCAUAUGUUCUGCACAUAGAAUGUCCUGGGUUCAACUCCCAGCAUCUCCA